GGCAUAAAUCAAAUGGCAAAGACAUCCAGCAGGUGUGACAUGAGAACACAUGUGAAAUACGCAAAAACAUAUUGUACGUUAGUGUUUUUUCACGUGUUCUCAGGUCGCCCCUGUAGGAUUUCUAUUGCUCGAAACAUGUUUGAAAUGUGAGAAUCGAGUACUAAUUGAUCUUGUAAUGAACAGCUGAUAUUUUGUUGUUUUUAUUUGUUUUCAGGACUGGCAUAUUGUUGCAAAGCUUCUCGAGAUACACUCAUUUUUAUUUAAGUGGAGAGAUCGAGCAAGAAUCCUCAAGUAACGUAGUAAGAAGCAAAAAGCAUCAAAAAAAUUGAUAGUUAAGGGUUUUGGGCCACGGGCUAAGUUAAGGUCCACCAAAAGAAGUACCCAACCCAUGGAUCAAUUGUUGGACAGUGUAAUUUGUCUCGUACUAUAUUUUAAUGUGUAUAAAUUUAUUGUAUCCUACUUAUUUACGGUACUUGCUAGUUGCCGAAUAAAAUUUGUUGCUUAUAAUAAAGUCAUUAUUUUGUAUAAA
Erigeron canadensis is the source of this 529-nucleotide long non-coding RNA. RefSeq lists it as uncharacterized. The record is from RefSeq and is a predicted model, not a curated record. Lineage: Eukaryota; Viridiplantae; Streptophyta; Magnoliopsida; Asterales; Asteraceae. The transcript is spliced from 2 exons.